Molecule: ribosomal RNA, 406 nt
Filed under: uncultured bacterium
Lineage: Bacteria
Description: bacterial SSU rRNA
Rfam family: Bacterial small subunit ribosomal RNA
Source: RNAcentral
AACGAACGCUGGCGGCGUGCCUAGCACAUGCAAGUCGUGCGAGAAAGUUCCUUCGGGAGCGAGUAAAGCGGCGCACGGGUGAGUAACACGUAGGUAACCUGCCCCCCCAGUCUGGAACAACUAGAGGAAACUCUAGCUAAUGCCGGAUGAGACCACGAUCCCUUCGGGGGUUGCGGCCAAAGAUGGCCUCUACUUGUAAGCUAUCGCUGAGGGAUGGGCCUGCGGGCCAUUAGCUUGUUGGUGAGGUAACGGCUCACCAAGGCUGUGAUGGCUAGCUGGUCUGAGAGGAUGACCAGCCACACUGGGACUGAGACACGGCCCAGACUCCUACGGGAGGCAGCAGUGGGGAAUAUUGCGCAAAUGGGCGAAAGCCUGACGCAGCGACGCCGCGUGGGUGAUGAAAGCC